Molecule: ribosomal RNA, 464 nt
Filed under: uncultured bacterium
Lineage: Bacteria
Description: bacterial SSU rRNA
Rfam family: Bacterial small subunit ribosomal RNA
Source: RNAcentral
GACGAACGCUGGCGGCGUGCCUAACACAUGCAAGUCGAACGGGGUAAUUCCUUCGGGGAUUACUUAGUGGCGAACGGGUGAGUAACGCGUGAGAAACCUGCCUUUCAGUGGGGGACAACAGUUGGAAACGACUGCUAAUACCGCAUAAUGUAUCGAUGGGGCAUCCUGUUGAUACCAAAGAUUUAUUGCUGAAAGAUGGUCUCGCGUCUGAUUAGCUAGUUGGUGAGGUAACGGCUCACCAAGGCGACGAUCAGUAGCCGGUCUGAGAGGAUGAACGGCCACAUUGGGACUGAGAUACGGCCCAGACUCCUACGGGGGGGCAGCAGUGGGGAAUAUUGGGCAAUGGGGGAAACCCUGACCCAGCAACGCCGCGUGAAGGAAGACGGUUUUCGGAUUGUAAACCUCUGUCUUUAGGGACGAAUAGAUGACGGUACCUAAGGAGGAAAGCCACGGCUAACUACGUG